Molecule: ribosomal RNA, 235 nt
Filed under: uncultured bacterium
Lineage: Bacteria
Description: partial 16S ribosomal RNA
Rfam family: Bacterial small subunit ribosomal RNA
Source: RNAcentral
UACGGAGGGGGCUAGCGUUGUUCGGAAUUACUGGGCGUAAAGCGCACGUAGGCGGCUUUGUAAGUUAGAGGUGAAAGCCUGGAGCUCAACUCCAGAACUGCCUUUAAGACUGCAUCGCUUGAAUCCAGGAGAGGUGAGUGGAAUUCCGAGUGUAGAGGUGAAAUUCGUAGAUAUUCGGAAGAACACCAGUGGCGAAGGCGGCUCACUGGACUGGUAUUGACGCUGAGGCUGCGAA